Molecule: long non-coding RNA, 1184 nt
Filed under: Elaeis guineensis (African oil palm)
Lineage: Eukaryota; Viridiplantae; Streptophyta; Magnoliopsida; Arecales; Arecaceae
Description: long non-coding RNA (EGUI_LNC043743)
Source: RNAcentral
GUGUAGUUAACGUAUGAUUCAGUCACUCUAUCGUGAGUCCCGACUAGAUGGUGGUCAUGGAUAAAUCAUCAAAUCUCAUCAUCAGUCAUAUGAUAGAUUCAAUUGGCUCGAAUCCAGUUGUGACUUCUAUAGAAAUAUUUUUUCAUUAAUCACACUACUGUGGCCACAGAUUCUCGGACUUAGCUUCUCAAAUCUCAUAGGACUACUCCUUUCUACCAAGGUUGAUAGAUCUCAUCUUGAUGUGUAUCCUACCCCUACAGUGGAUCAACUGUCACCAAUAUCUACUACAAGGGCUCAUUGAGAUCCAUGUUUAUGUGUCAAUCAAACUCCAACAGCCUCACUGCAGAUAGUAGUACAUCUCAGAUCAAAGGACCAAUCACACAACUACAGCAUCGAGAUGAUCAUUGAUGAUUGAGUAAAAAUCUAAGUGAUCUCUUGUAUGGUCACGCUCAGUACUAGUUGUUCUCUAACAACUACCUGCACUCAUCGCCCUGUAGAUCAAAGACUCAUCUAUCUCAAAGGAAGCAAUCUGUGCAUCAGUCUAUCCGGAUCGAUCAUCAUCUUCAUAAUGAUCCUAUGACCGAAAGUAUUUAGGAAUUAAAUACAUAUCUUUAAUUCUUAACACAUUGAGAAUAUGUAUCAAAACUAAUUUCAUGGACGAUUCAAGGACACAUCACACUUGAAUUAAAAAUAAAUUUAUCCUUUUAUCGAUCAAAUCAAUGUAUUAAGUACAAAAUUAUAUCCUAGAGUUAUUAUAAUGUGUCAGCUAUAUUGGCUUCUAGGACAUACAUCUAACAAUUGACCCUCCGAAUUAGUAGGAGUUAUAUAUCAAUGUAUUUCAAUUUAGCAAAAUCUGAAUCUGGAUAAUCUAUGUGAUGGAUUUGAAAGAUUGAAAUACAAUGUGGAUGACUUAUCUAAGAUUGACAGUUAAAUCUUAGAUCGUCUUUGAGCAUUAGAGUCAAAAUGAUGAAUUGUACGGUAACCAUAUACCAGUAGGUUCUUGAAUGUUGCUUCGCCAUCAUUCGACCUAUCCAGACGUCAGAUCCCAUUGCUAGAUAGUUAUAUCGAUUGGUUUAAAAAUUUAUUUCUAUUCUACUGAUUUAGGUUCGAACCUAUGGGGUCACACUCAAAAAAAAAUUCUGAUUGAUCAUGUGGCUGAUCAACAAUUGAGAAUCGUUCAAGGG